AGCCUUAACAUGAAAUGAAGAUACAUGUAUUAAUGAAGAUAGUAGUAGAAGGAUAUUACAGUAGAUAUUAUACGCCUAUGAUAGAUACAGGAGCAGAAGCUAAUUUAUGUAGAUAUAAUUGCUUACCAGAAAGCAAAUGGGAUAAACUAAAAACACCAAUAAUAGUUAAAGGAUUUAAUAAUGAAGGAAGCUUAAUUACUUAUAAAGCUAGGAAUGUAAAAAUACAAGUAUGGGAUAAGAUAUUAACAAUAGAAGAAAUUUAUAAUUAUGAAUUAACAUCAAAAGAUAUACUUUUAGGAAUGCCAUUUUUAGAUAAAUUAUACCCACAUAUAAUAACCAAAACAGACUGGUGGUUUACAACACCAUGCAAACAAAAAGUAAGAGCAAAAAGAGUUAAUAAUAAAAUAAGAAAGAAAACUGAUUGGAUAAAAGGAAGUGAAAAAAUUACACAAAAGUUAGAAAAUAUAAACAAUACUGAAGAUACAGUAGAACUAGUAGUAUUUUCGAUAAAUAAAACAGAAAUAACUAUAUUUUCAAUAAAUAAAAUAGAAAUAAUUCAGAAAAAAUUAGAACAAUUAUAUAGUGAAGAUCCAUUAAAAGGAUGGGAAAAACACAAAACUACUAUAAAAAUUGAAUUAAUAGAUAAGAAUAGCAUAAUAACACAAAAACCAUUAACAUAUAAUUUUGAUGAUUUAAAAGAAUUUAAAAUGCACAUAGAUGAAUUAUUAGAAAAACAAUAUAUACAAAAAAGUAAUAGUAAACAUAAUAGUCCAGCAUUUAUAGUAAAUAAACAUAGUGAACAAAAAAGAGGAAAAAGUAGGAUGGUUAUUGACUAUAGAAAUUUAAAUGCAAAAACUAUAACAUAUAAUUAUCCGAUACCAAAUAAGAUAUUAAAAAUAAGACAAAUCCAAGGAUAUAAUUAUUUUAGCAAAUUUGAUUGUAAAUCAGGAUUUUACCACCUAAAGCUAGAAGAAGAAUCUAAAGAAUUAACCGCAUUUACGGUACCACAAGGAUUUUAUGAAUGGAACGUGUUACCAUUUGGAUAUAAAAAUGCACCAGGUAGAUAUCAACAUUUUAUGGAUAAUUAUUUUAAACAAUUAUCUAAUUGUAUAGUAUACAUAGAUGAUAUAUUAUUAUACACCAAAACCAAAGAAGAACAUUUAAAAUUAUUAGAACAAUUCACAGAUAUAAUAGAAAAAUCAGGAAUAAGUCUAAGCAAAAAGAAAGCUGAAAUUAUGAAAAACCAGAUAGAAUUUUUAGGAAUACAAAUAGAUAAAAGUGGAGUAAAAAUGCAACAACAUAUAGUACAAAAAAUAAUAAAUUCGAAAGAAGAAUUAGAUACAAAAAAGAAAUUACAAUCAUUUUUAGGAUUAGUAAACCAAGUAAGAGAAUAUAUUCCAAAAUUAGCAGAAACCUUAAAACCACUGCAGAAAAAAUUAAAAAAGGAUAUAGAAUAUAAUUAUGAUGAAAAAGAUAAAAAACAAGUUCAAAAAAUAAAAUUACUUUGUAGAGAAUUACCAAAAUUGCAAUUUCCAGAUGAAAAUAGAAAAUUUAUAUAUAUAGUAGAAGCAGAUGCAAGUGAAUAUAGUUACGGAGGAGUACUUAAAUAUCGAUAUGAAGCAGAAAAAAUAGAACACCAUUGUAGAUACUACUCAGGUACGUUCAACGAGACAGAAAUAAAAUGGGAAAUAAAUAGGAAAGAAUUAUGUUCAUUAUAUAAAUGUUUAUUAGCAUUUGAGCCAUAUAUUGUAUAUAACAAAUUUAUUGUACGAACAGAUAAUACACAGGUACGCUGGUGGUUAACAAAGAAAAUACAAAAUUCAGUUACAACAAAAGAGAUUCGAAGACUAGUUUUAAAUAUAUUAAAUUUCACAUUUACAAUUGAAGUGAUCAGUACUAACAAAAAUGUUAUUGCAGAUUACAUAUCAAGACAAAGCUACACAGACUGAAAUAGUAGAGGAAGAUACUCUAGAAAAAAUACUUAACACCCUAACUACGCUUUCAAUGAAAGUGGACAGUAUGGGUAAUGAGAUAGAAAAGCUAAAGACUAAUGAAGAUAAACUGAAGUCUAUAGCUACAAAUCAGCUAACUCAGCAGUGUGCAGAGCUAUGUCGACCGGAAGACAUUAAAAAUCCAGAGCUAGAAGGAGACGUUGGGACACUCCAUAAAACCCAUAACAUUUAUCAAUCUACUUCUGCAGGUACAAGCAAAGGAGUUAAUAGACCAAGAUACCAGAAUGUAAAUAUGAACAAAAUAUUUGAAAAACCAUUUACCCCAAAAGCACAAAAAGACCAUUUAUUCAUACCCCCACAAGUUAACACAUACCGAGACAGCCUAAACCAAGACAAGAAAAUAUACAACUACACAGCCCAAAAAUACAUAGAAAAUAUAUAUAGAGUCCAAACCUUUCUAAACCAUAACCCCAGAGCUACAAAUAUCCAAGAACCAAAUACCAAUUAUAUAACCCAAAAACUACAAGGAUACAAUAAACUGAUAGCACUACCCAAAACUAACCCAAGCCUAGUUAAAACCUGUUUUGACUAUGGACUACUAAAUACCAUAUACACCCAAGACGGAGAAGAGCUAACAGCUAUGGAGGAAUUAUACAAGAUAUUCACUACCUACAAAAGAAUAAAAAAAGGAAAUUUAUUUUAUAUAAAGUGUUAUACUGCACCAGCAGAGAUAUUAUAUGAUGAAAUAAAACCAGUGAUACAGGUUGUAAAGAUAGGACUGACAAGAGAUAUGAUUAUACCAGAAGAUAUUUCGCAACAACCAGAGAUACCUAGAAUCGAGAUACCAGAUUUUUAUGCAAAUAAAAGACUUAUUGGACUAGCUACGAUCAUACAAGAACUAGCAAAUAACUACGCUAACGGAAAUCCAAUAUGGAGCUACUAUUCAAGAGAUCACCAAAUGAUAUAUUCAAAUUCGAAAGAACUAAGACAAGCAGAUAUGGAAGACGUAAGACAAUGGAUACUGACGCUACUUAACCCAGAAAAACAAUCUACCGCGCGAGCAAUAAGAAAAGGAUUUAUUUCAGACGGACUGCUAACCAGAUACUGUAAGAUAAUCGGACAUAAAUAUCCAGACCACCAAUGUUCGAGGUGCAAUGGAGAAGAUAAUAUUAUUCCAGAGGUACACCUAGAAUAAAGAAGAUAAAAUACCAGCUGGAAGGAUAAGAUAAAGAGCAAUAAUGGAGCAGAUACAGAAGCAAUAAUGGAGCAGAUACAGAACAAUAAUGGAGCAAAUACGACAAAAACCAACGGAGACAAGAUACUGUACAGAAGCAGAAUUAUUAUACNNNNNNNNNNNNNNNNNNNNNNNNNNNNNNNNNNNNNNNNNNNNNNNNNNNNNNNNNNNNNNNNNNNNNNNNNNNNNNNNNNNNNNNNNNNNNNNNNNNNNNNNNNNNNNNNNNNNNNNNNNNNNNNNNNNNNNNNNNNNNNNNNNNNNNNNNNNNNNNNNNNNNNNNNNNNNNNNNNNNNNNNNNNNNNNNNNNNNNNNNNNNNNNNNNNNNNNNNNNNNNNNNNNNNNNNNNNNNNNNNNNNNNNNNNNNNNNNNNNNNNNNNNNNNNNNNNNNNNNNNNNNNNNNNNNNNNNNNNNNNNNNNNNNNNNNNNNNNNNNNNNNNNNNNNNNNNNNNNNNNNNNNNNNNNNNNNNNNNNNNNNNNNNNNNNNNNNNNNNNNNNNNNNNNNNNNNNNNNNNNNNNNNNNNNNNNNNNNNNNNNNNNNNNNNNNNNNNNNNNNNNNNNNNNNNNNNNNNNNNNNNNNNNNNNNNNNNNNNNNNNNNNNNNNNNNNNNNNNNNNNNNNNNNNNNNNNNNNNNNNNNNNNNNNNNNNNNNNNNNNNNNNNNNNNNNNNNNNNNNNNNNNNNNNNNNNNNNNNNNNNNNNNNNNNNNNNNNNNNNNNNNNNNNNNNNNNNNNNNNNNNNNCCUUGCUAAUAGUGACCGAAGAACAUGUUAUUUAAGAAUAAUCUAGUAUAUAGUAAUCUAAGAUGACCAUAUUUUGUUAUGUACAUGAUUGAAGGGAAUAUUUUGAAAAUAGCAAUUUUAUGAAAAUGAAUAAUUAUUUAUCUGCUGUGAUAUUAGAUAAAUUUAAAAUACUUAUUUUGUAUGCACUUAAGGAUAUAAAAGUAGUAGAUAUAAGAAAAAUCAUAUUAGAAAAAGCAUUUGGUAAAUAUUAUAUGACUAGAAUAAAUUACAUACCAUACCUACCUAACUACUCUUACAAAUACUUACCAUGAUAAAUUACAUAUAUCUAGAAUUUUUGGAAAAAGAUAUGAGAAACAUACAGUUAAUAGAAAAACAGAUGAAAGUAAAUUUAGACAAAUACAUGGAAACUAAAGAUAUAAAAUAUAUAGAAUUUCUUAAUGAAAAUAUGCAAGAACUACUAAGGCUAAAACAAACAACUACAAAAUAUUAUAAUAAAAUAUUUAGUCAAUUUUAAAUGAUAGAUAAUCUUAAAGUCUUAAUCUUAUAUAUACUUAGAGAUAUAGAAAUUAUAGAUAUUAAGAUAAUAAUAUUAGAAAAAGUAAUAGACUACGAAAUUGAAACCACAAAUUGUCUAGAACCGUUAUACGAAGAAAUUUACCCAGAAGGAUAUUAUUCAGAUUAAAAAAAAAAUGUUAGAAUACAUUAGAAAAACUAGAGAAAAUCAAGAAAAUCUAAAUAAUGAAAUUAAUUAUAGAAACCGAAUUAGGAAAAUAAUGGAAGACCUAAAAGAAAAAUUAAUAUGGAUAGAAAAAACCUUAGAAAAUUUAGAUAAAAGUACAUGUGAUAGCUUAUAUAAUUUAAAAAACUCACUACGAGAAGAACAACACAAGAUAAUAAAUAACAUUGAAAAUCUAGAAUUAGAUAUACAUUACAGCACAGAUAGGAUAAAUUAUUAUACAGAAAUUUGUAACUCUGCAAUUACUACAGGAUAAAAUAAUUAAUGAAUAUAUCUUACGAAAAAAGUAAAUUAUUAAAAGAUAUUGAAACAAAAUUUAAAAAAUAUGCACGCACUAAUAAAAAUAGAUUCACUAGAAACCUACUAAAUCUAUUAUACCUAUUAAAUCCGCACACCCCCCUACAAAUGGUAUCAAAGCCCAGCAAUUUAAAAAGUACGGAAGAGAAAUAUAUAUUAGAAAUAUCCGUACUUUUUAAAUUGCUGGGCUCUGAUACCAUUUGUAGGGGGGUUUACUGUAUUUUGUUUUGUGAUGUGUUGUGGUUAAUUGGGAUAAAAAUAAGUAUCUGGGCAGUUGACAUAUUUUGUCGAUUUUUGGGAAUAGUAAAUACCCCUACAAUUAUCUAUUUUGUAAUUGUGUGAUGUGCAUCUAUAUGUAACUACUGUGAAUCUUUUUAUGGCAUUAAUAUUAGGGACAUGAUAAUCAUUGUUAACAAUUAAAUGAACUGGAUAGGUAGUAGUUUGUGAUGUAUCUUUGUGCGAUGUGUUUGUGAGAUACUACCUAAUUCCCAUUGUGUGUCAAAUCUAGAACCUGCCCAGUUGGUCUUGCCUUGGUUUUAGGAGAGUGAUUAGGAAAGGAUCAUAGGCCAGUUUUUAUAUUAGUCCACUUUUAGCCUAAAUGACCUUCUAUGUUUGAAUAAUAUCCCUUGAUCCUGAUUUUGAGCCUGAAUGCCUAUAUUUUUUAUUAUUAUACUUAUCGCCUUCCCACUUGUAUCAUAAUGAACCUAUUUUGGCCCUGAUCCUCCUUGGGCAUUGUGCACUUUGACUUAGGUAAAUCGCCUAAGUUGAAGGUGGCUAUCAUAGGGCUGCAUGAUGUAAAGUGAGUAUAAAGAAGGGUAAAGUGAGUAUGAAGAAGGGUGGCUAUCAUAAUUUUUCAACUUCCUGAUAAUCCGUUAGGACUUGUCGUCAUCCGAAGGCAGCAAACAUAGAAUAUGAAGAGGAGUUGACGACAUUUUCUGAUAAGUCACAAUGAACCUGUUUUGGCCCUUUUCCUCCUUGGGCAUUGUGCACUUUAACUUAGGCAAAUCACCUAAGUUGAGGGUGGCUAUCAUAGGGGUGCAUGAUGUAAAGUGACUAUGAAGAAGGUUAAAAAAUGCAAGGCUGGGUGUGGUAGAAAAAGAAUAAGAAAAAAAAAUUAUGAAAAAGAGAAAAUGAAAGACUAAAGGACCACACCCAGCCUGAAUUAGAGAAAUAAGUUGAAGGUUGAUAAGUGAGACCCCAAAAAAAGUGUAGUGCCAAUGAGGCUUAGUCACUUUAAAUAGCCUUGCGUAUCAUACUAGCCCCAAGCCUACAUUACAAGCUGAAGAAAAGUCCUAUAGUGAUCCUAGCUUAACUGUCUAAAAGCCUCGGUGAUGAAAAUAAGGGCAAGCUUAUGGUAUUUGGCAUACAUUGACUGGAACUUCUUUCUGAGAGUGAUUAUCUCUUGACUUUCCCUGCAUUUACGUGCUUGAUUUCAUAUAUGAGUGAAGAGAGAAUUCUUUGUUGUAAGGGCACGUCGGUUGCAUUGCUAGCUGCUUACUUGUUUGGGUAGUAUAACUUGUACAUAUGCAUGGUUAUUGUUGCUAAUUUGAUGUCAUAUCUUGAUUCCUUUCUGUCACAUUGUUGAUCUUCAUUGAUAUACACAGUUGGGUUUAGAGUGAAUGAACAUAGAGAGGGUAAUGUGUGUUGAGCUAAAAUUGAUAAUCAACUAUCAUAGGUAUCUUAUGUUUCUCUUAGUUAAGCAUCGUAGUAUGGAGUUAUGUAGUUGCUUGAGGACAAGUAAUUAUUUUAAGUUGAGGGUGUUGAUGUGCUGACCUUCUGUUAGCACAUUUAAGACUUUUAACUUGGAAUAAUUGUAAGUUCUUAAGUAACUAUCGUUGUUUUUUAUGGUAUUUCAUGUGAUUUUGUAGGAAAGUCAAGAUUUAUGAACAUAUAGGAAAGCUACGUUGAGAAGGAUGAUUUUUGGUGACAGAUGCAAGAAAUUAAGUUCUGAAGACUUCAUCCGACGACUUGGUUUGAUAAGCUAUCAGAUCUGUGAUAAGCUAUCAAAAUAUGUCAUCACACAUAGGCAGAGAAUAAGAAAGUUGAAGCAUUUCUGACGACAUUUUCUAAUAAUUCGUCAACUUUAUGAUAAGCCGUCAGGACUUGUCGUCAUCCGAAGGCAGCAAACAUGGAAUUUGAAGAGGAGUUGACGACAUUUUCUCAUAAGUCGUCAACUUCCUGAUAAGCCGUCAGGACUUGUCAUCAGCCGAAGGCAGCAAAAACAUAGAAUUUGAAGAGGAGUUGACGAUAUUUUCUGAUAAGUCGUCAGACUCCUGAUAAGUCGUCACACAUGUCAUCAGAUUUGUGAUAAGCCGUCACAAAUAUCGUCAGCUAAAGGAGCGAAAAUAUAAAUUUUUAGUUUCAAAUUUCCUUUAAGUUACAAAUAUAAAUAGCAGCUUUUAGGGUUUCUUUUGACAACUGGAACUUAUUCCAAAGGCAAAGUCACCUCUUUUUGGGCCUCUUAACUGAGAAUUCCAAUUCUGUGAUUGGGUUUUGGGAACUUCUUAUUGAACUUGGAAGAGAAUCAACUUCAGAAUUCAUCUUUUGUAAGUCUAAUUUCUCUAAAUAAGGAAUACAAUUGUUGCUAUCUUUUUCUUUCUCAUGUGGAACUAAAACCCAUAACUAGGGUUGUGGGAUCUAUGAUUAUUCCUUCAUGGAUUUAAUAGUUGGUUAGGGUUAGAAUAAUUGUGGGAACAUCUUGAUAAUUCUAUUGUAAUGAUUGUUUUCUAUUGGUUGCAAACAAUAGAUCUAGCCUUAUGUUUGCUUGCUCGAACUGAGAAAUAAACUAAAGGUAGUGAAUUAUCAACGAGGAUUUGGGAAGGUUAAUUUUUCAUCUAAUGAUUAAUGUUGUAACAAGAUUAAUCAACUCGAGAUAAAAUCAGUGUGAAUAGAAGGUUUUCCUAAGUUCGAGAGAAUUAGGGAGCACAACAUCUAGGUAGGUUGAGAAACACUUAGAUGGACUGUCAAUACUGAUAAUUUGGUGUUUUCCAAAAGUCACGAGAAUCCAGUACUACAACUAUUAUUCAAUCAGGGGUUGAUAAUCAUAAUGAUCACAACCCUAGUUUCUCUCUAUCAUUGAUUUGAACCAUUGAAAUUUUAGCUUUGAGUUCUGAAGCAAGUAGAAACUUUAAUCAUCGUUUGAUUGAUAAAACCUCCAAUUAAAGGAAACCAUUAUCUAUCAGUUAUUUUAAUCAAAAAUAGACUUGAUUGACACCUUAUUCCUUGUGGGAUUUGACCCCAACCUAGUUGGGUUAUAUAUUUGACAACGACCGCUUACUCUCUCGUAAGAGAGGUGUAAUUUGGGCGUAUCAUAUGACACCUACUCUAAAUGAAGAGUGGAGAAAUUAUUUUGAUUUUCAGUUUUGAAUCCCAACCCAAAAUGAAACCCAAGACUAUUAACGAAAAUCUUUUUGUAUUUUUCUUUUCAAGGCAUGUAUGAAACACCUACUCUAUAUAAAGAGUGAAGAAAAUCUUUUUUAAAAUUUUGAAAUAAGAUCACCGAACUCUAGAAGGGUUGCCUAUGUAUCUCACUACCGAAAGAGGAGAAUCAGGUAUGUGUAGUUCGUCCAGUUUGGACAGAUAAAGAUUAAGUAACAAACUAAACCUUGACUUAGGAGAUGCAACAAAAGACGAAUGAUGGAAAACGCCAAUAAAAUCUUUUUUAGGAUUUUUAAUUUGACACUUCACAUAAAACUGACACCAACAACUAUGAAAGGAAAAAUCUUUUUGAGUAUUUUCGUUAUAUGAAAUCUAUAAAACUACAAAACUUCUACCAUCUUAUUUUUUUAAUUUUUCUUUUAUAAAAAACUUCUAUUGAUACAAAUCUUUUUGAACUUUCAAAAGUCAAUGCUUAUUAAAGAAACAAAAGAAAAAUCUUUUUGAUAUUUUUUAUUUUUGAGAAAAUAAGUGCAAAGGAUAAAAAAUCUUUUUUUUUUAUUUUUGGAUUGUGGAGAACAAAAGUCAUAAAAAACUCUAAAAAAACUACAAAACUCUUUUUUUAACUCACUUUGUUCUUUUUUUUUUUCGACCUUUUCUUGUCUACACACUUUGCUUAAAUUCUAGCACAUGCUUUUCCCAAAUCAGUCCGUCAAAUGAACCUGUUACCCUCAAAGAUGCAACAUUUAGCAUGUAGAUAUGCUUUAGGGGUAAGUCUCCUACAAAGGACCAAGUGGUUCCCGCUAGGUCUGAAUAUGAUGCAAAUAAGCAUGACCUAGAGUCUGACCUAUGAUAAUGCUCAAAUUACACUCUUCAAUUGGUGUAAGCGAUCGUUGUCAGUAUAAAACAUAACUAGGUUGGAGUCAAAUCCCACAGGGAACAAUAUGAGUGGCGAUUAAACUAGUUUGAAAGUAAAGCUACAAGUUAAAUUCAAAAAAACGAUAUAAAAAGAUAAAAUGGGGGUUUUGGAGAUUAGCAAAUAAUUUUUGGUCACUUUAAUUUCAGUGUUUGUCAAUCAAGAUUUUAUGAAAUAACCAGGAUUAUGUUCACUAGGGCUUACGGUACAUGAUAGAUGCUAAAAUUUACUCAAGACUCUCACGGUGGUUAGGAUCACAAGCUAUCUUUAUCGAUGAUAUGCUCAAAUGUCUCUGGACCUAUUCAAGCGUCUAAUUUCCUAAUCCUCUCGGACUUAAGGAAUCGCUAUGCACUGUCCAGAUUUUACCUCAGGUAAAUCAACCUUGUUACAGCGCUGAUUAUUAAAUGAAGCUUUUUCAAGUCCCUGUUGAUAAUUCACUUCUUACUAUUUAUGAUUUUUUUUCUCAAGCAAACCAAAGUAGGUACGCCUACUGUUUACAACCACUAGACAUAAAUUAUAAUCUCAGAAUUACCAAGAAAUCCUAACACCUAUUAAAUCUAGAGUAUUUAACACCUUAUCAUGACCUAACCCUAGAUCCCAUGAUCCCGGUUACAGGUGUUUAGCCACUCAUGAUGCAAGAAACAAGUAGGCAAAUUGAAUUCAUAACUAAAAGGAUUAACUUACAAUGAUGAAGAAAAUCAAAAGUAUACUUUGAUUUGAAUCACAGGGCAAAACUCCAAAAUAUUAGUUUUUGAGAGAGAGAUAGAAAUAUCGUAUAUUGUAUCUUGUAGGAUAUGUCCAAUCCUUAAUGAUCGAAUGAAUAAAAAAAAAACUAAAACAAGGCUUUAAAUAGUUAACCCUAAAUAAGGAAAUAAAAUUAAAGUUCAGACUUUCUUCGAAAUAGAUAACGGCGCUCGUGACGGCCUAUCAGGAGUUUGACGGCCUAUCACGAACGUCGUCAGCUUCUCUGCAAGUUUAGCUUCUGCUGCCUAAGGUUGACGAUGACGUUACUCCUUAUCAUCAUCUUGACGACGUGUCAUGAAUGUCAUCACAAAACUUCCUACAACUUUCAUCUUCUGUUUAAGGUUGACGGCAUCCUUGACAGCCUAUCACCAGGCUGACGACGUGUUAUGGAUAUCGUCAGCCACAGUUUGUUCUUUAUUUGCUUCCGAUUUCAUGCUUUUUGCUUCCUUUAUUUGUGGUUCCCCUUCUUCUCUAUUUAUACUGGAAAAUCAAAGUAAACUAAUCAAAAACGACUAAAGUUGCUCAAGACUUUGCAAUUAUUUAGAGUUAAAAGUUGUAAAUGUAUUAGCAUGGGCUCACACAUCAACACCCUCAACUUAAACAAUUGGUUGUCCUCAAGCAACCAGAACAUAACCAAGAGUAUACAAAGUACAAGUUGGCAGCUAACUACUCAUAUCAGUUCAGAAUAUAUGCACCAUCUCCAAGGUCAGUCAAAUUAAGAGAAACUAUGUGUAUUAUUGAAAACACCCAUGCAACUCACGAGGAUCAAGAUAUGGCAAGAAUUUUAGCAAUAACAACCCAGCACAUACCCAAAUCACACUAUCCGAUUAAGGCAGUGAUUAGCAACAUACCUAGUGUGCCCUCACAACAAAGAAAUCCCUUUUUCACUCAUGUCAGAAUUUACAUACGUAAACACAGGGAUAAACACAAAACUCACUCUCAGAAAGAAGUUCCAACAUUUCGUACCAAAUGCCAUAGGCUUGCCCCUAUAAUCAGUACCCAAGUUAUCAGACAGGUCAGUUAGGAUCACUAUAGGGCUUUUCUAAAGCUUGUAACGUAGGUUAGGGGCUGGUAUGAUAUUCAUGGAUAUUUAAGAGUGACUAUGCCUCCUUGAAACUACACUAAACUCUUGGGGUUUCAACUCCCAACCUUCUUUUCUUCCUCUCUUUUAUUUAUCACACAUGCUCAAGAUGGAUGCGGUCUUUUCAAUUAUCACAUUAUCUUUUUAUCAUCUUUUACACUACUUUCUCAUUUCUUAUUCUUUUCUUUUAUUCUUCCUCUCUUCAUACUCAUUUUGUAUCACGCACCCCUAUAAUAGCCACCCUCAACUUAGGCGGUUUGCCUAAGUCAAGGUGCAUAGUGUCCAAGGAGGACCAGGGCCAAAACAGGUUCAUUAUGAUGUAAACGGGAAGGUGAGAGGUAUCGUAGAAAGAAAUAGGCUAAUUAGGCUCAAAACAGGAAUCAAGAGAUAUUAUGCACAUAGGGAAGAUCAUUUUGGCUAAAGUGGGAUAAAAUAAAAAAAAGGGCAUAUGAUCCUUUCCUAACUCCUAUCCUAUGACCAUGACAAGACUAACAGGGCAAGUUCUAGAUUCAACACACAACGGGAACUGAGUAAGACCUUACACACACAAGGCACUCAAGUAUCUCGCAUAUCACUACUUAUCCAGUUCAUGUACUUGUUUAACAAAGGUUAUUCAGUUGCCAGACUAAUGCCACAAAAAGAUACAUCGUGGUCACAAAUGGAUGCAAUUCACAUAGUAAUAUAUCAGACCAAUGGAGAGGUGCUCAAAAAUCACAAAAACGAGUUAACUGCCUUAGUUACUUAUAUUUCUCCUAGUUAACUACAACACAUCACAAAACAAGCGUAAUACGCCUAAACAUGCCGGAUCUAUUAGGAACAAUACUCUAGGGAAAAGAGGCACGGCAACAAAAACUCCAGGAGGACAUCAACACCUACAAGUAGCCCCAACACCCUCAACUUAAAACCAUGCAAUGUCCUCAAUGCGUCAAACUAAAACAAGAGAGUUAGAAACAUACCUGUGGAACCAUGGGUGCGAUGUCAAUCACAUAAUACGAAUACAAACAACAAAAUACCUUGGGUUGCCUCCCAAGAAGCGCCUAAUUUAGUGUCGCGGCAUGACAACAUCCAGUCAUCUUUUAUUCCUCUACUUUGAAGAUUUAAAUUGUCGGCCCAUCUUUUUAUCUUUACAUCUUUUAGGUCCAUUGGGCAAAUGUGAGGGCAUGAUAAGGAAUGUUCUAUCACGCCACUUCGAAGACUUGAACCGCUUGCUCAAUUUUGCAUCGAACUUUCGUGUGGGCUCAUUAGGCAACGAUAAGGAUCUUAAAAAGCUACUAAAUGGAUAUCGAUUUUUAAGCUUCUUGGCCUUCAAGACUGGGGUUGUAGUAUACCCUUUUAGAAAGAUAAACUCCAAAAUAUAAGAAUUUUCCUCCUCAUUUUCAAAAUUCAUCAUUUGCUCGGGUGGUUCGACUUUCAUCACAUCCACCAAGCAUAAUGUUGAAAAGUGGUUUGAAUGAGGACUGACUCUCAAUUCUGGAGUAGCGUCUCUAUUAGUAUCUUUACCCCAAAAUGGACUAGAGUCUUCACAAAGAUUGUUCUUGAUUUCUUCUUUUAAUUUUAGUACCAUUUCCUCAUCUUUGGCAUCUUCGUUCAUAAAUGGUUUGGUUGGUUGGGAAAUCUCCAAUGGAAGAUCAACAUCAAGCACAUCAUCAAUAUAGGAUUCUUGCUCCUCAUCUUCGCACUCUCUCAUUAUGUUAAAUGAUUCUACAGGCAAGAUAUCAUCUAAACAUAAUAUAAAAGAAUAUUUUGAAUAAUUGACCUCUAUAUCCAUCUCCUCAUGAAUAAUCGGCAUCAUGUCUUCACGCAUAUCACAUACGAUAUCAUAUGUUUCUUUCUGGAGAUCCAACAUUCGUUGAAACAUAGCUUCAAUGCCACUCUUACCGGUGCUUCGUUCUUUUUUUCUUGAUCAUAAGACCUAUUAAACUCAUAAGAAGAACUAGAAUUUGGGUUAGCGCAAUAGGGGGAGGGGGCAUUUGGGCAAUCACUCCAAUGUCCAUCUCGACCACCACAUAAAGAACAAUCAUACUCCUGGUAGGAUGGAGAUGGUACACACAUCUCUCCCUGGAGAGCAUAUCUACAAUCUUUCCAAAAGUGAGGUCCAUCACAAUAUGGACAUGGAUCAUCAAGAUAAGAUUUUCAACCACCAAGCUCAUGUUCAUUCCACGAUGUCAUAGUAAUAAGUAAACUAAAAUAAAAAUCUACCUAACACAAGAAAUAAAAGAAAACUAAAAAAAAAUAUUUACAAGUUUGAAUUCAAGCUAGUAGGCUAAAAUUCCAAACCAACUCAAUACGCCAAAUUGUUCCCCGGUAACGGCGCCAUUUUUGAUACGCUCAAAUUACACUCUUGAAUGGGUGUAAGCGAUCAUUGUCAAUAUAAAACUCAACUAGGUUAGGGUCGAAUCCCACAGGGAACAAUAUGAGUGGCGAUUAAACUAGUUUGAAACUAAAGCUACAAGUUAAAUUCAAACAAACGAUAUAAAAAGAUAAAAUGGGGGUUUUAGAGAUUAGCAAAUAAUUUUUGGUCACUUUAAUUUCAGUGUUUGUUAAUCAAGAUUUUAUGAAAUAAUCAGGAUUAUGUUCACUAGGGCUUACGGUACAUGACAGAUGCUAAAAUUUACUCAAGACUCUCACGGUAGUUAGGAUCACAAGCUAUCUUUAUCGAUGAUAUGCUUAAAUGUCUCUAGACCUAUUCAAGAGUCUAAUUUCCUAAUUCUCUCGGACUUAGGGAAUCGCUAUGCAUUGUCCAGAUUUUACCUUAGGUAAAUCAACCUUGUUAUAGCGUUGAUUAUUAAAUGAAGUUUUUUCGAGUCCCUGUUGAUAAUUCACUUCUUACUAUUUAUGAUUUUUUUCUCAAGAAAACCAAAGUAGGUACGCCUACUGUUUGCAACAAACAGACGUAAAUUAUAAUCUCAGAAUUACCAAGAAAUCCUAACACCUAUUAAAUCUUAAGUAUUUAACACCUUAUCAUGACCUAACCCUAGAUCCCAUGAUCCAGGUUACAGGUGUUUAGCCACUCAUGAUACAAGAAACAAGUAUGCAAAUUGAAUUCAUAACUGAAAGGAUUAACUUACAAUGAUGAAGAAAAUCAAAAGUCUACUUUGAAUUGAAUCACAGUGCAAAACUCCAAAAUAUUAGUUUUUGAGAGAGAGAGAGAGAAAUAUCGUAUAUUGUAUCUUGUAGGAUAUGUCCAAUCCUUAAUGAUCGAAUGAAUAAAAAAAACUAAAACAAGGCUUUAAAUAGUUAACCCUAAAUAAGAAAAUAAAAUUAAAGUUCAGAUUUUCUUCAGAAUAGAUGACGGCGCUCGUGAUGGCCUAUCAAGAGUUAGACGACCUAUCACGGACGUCGUCAGUUUCUCUGCAAGUUUAGCUUCUGCUGCCUAAAGUUGACGACGACGGUGAUGCCUUAUCAUCACCUUGACGGUGUGUAAUGAAUGUCGUCACAAAACUUUCUGCAACUUUCAUCUUCUGUUUAAGGUUGACGGCAUCCUUGACAGCCUAUCACCAGGCUGACGACGUGUCAUGGAUGUCGUCAGCCACACUUUGUUCUUUAUUUUCUUUUGAUUUCAUGUUUUUUGCUUCCUUUAUUUGUGGUUCCCCUUCUACUCUACUUAUACUGCAAAAUCAAAGUAAACUAAUCAAAAAACGACUAAAGUUACUCAAGACUUUGCAAUUAUUUAGAAAGCUGUAAAUGUGUUAGCAUGGGCUCACACAUCAACCUACACUGGGGUCCACUAACAAGGCUGUUCGGGGGAGUAUAUGGUCGAUAGUGGCUGUGAGAGCUUUCCACCCACUCCAUACACCUGACAGCUCCCCUUCCUAAAAUAAGGGUGACUCAAUUAGAGGUCAUGUACACACGUGCACUACGAAUUUGUUGCGAAAAAAAUGACUCGGGUUAUGCACAUAAUGCCAGAUAUAAAGUGGUAACACAUAAUAAAAACUAUAAACAUGCAACACAUAGGUAAUCAACAAUGAUAAAAUAAAUACAAACGAUAACACAAACAAUGUUUAUACACACAUAAUUUCAAACUAUGCCGAUACAACUCCAAAAGUAAGCUCGGAUUCUGAAAAUUUCUCCAGCAGAGUCGUCAAUGCUGUCACCCCCUUUUUUAACCAAAAAGAUGGAUUUUAAUGUUUGAAAAGGUUUUAUUAUCUAAGUGACAAAAGAUUUAAAAUUUAUUUCAAAAAAAAGAUUAUUUACAUUUUUUAUUCAGAGUCGCCACUUGACAUAAGCCGGUGUGCCAAGUCACCUUUGAAAAAUUCUUUUCAAAACUUUGACUCUUUAAAACUGGUUUGCUAACAGAGAUUCCAAGUAAUGAAUUCUGUUGAUCGAGGCGAAGGUGUUAGGCACCCCUCGAUCCCGUGGUUCGGCCACGGUCUCUUGGUGAAUUAUAUCGGCUCGUAAGACACUAUGAAUAUAUAAACCCAUAAAAACACAUAAAAGAAUCAAACAAACACAUCAAACACAAUCCAAAACCACAAUAAUAACGUUCAGUCCAAUUAUACAGUCCAAAAUAGUCCUAUUCUAAACUAGUCCUAAACUAAGCUCCACCCGACGCCUCGGGCCUUCGUCACGAACAUCUUUCAGGUACAAAAUACUUCGGGGCAUUCUCCGACCAGAUGAUACAUUUGAUCAAGCACGAUAAACUAGAAAACAUUCAACACACAUUCCACAUUCAAACAUUCAACAAAACACUUAUUCCUAAAUUUUUCCUACCCGAACCUAUACUUGUCUAUUCAUUUCAACAUGUCAUAAUUCUAUCACGUUCCAACGACAAUCAUGCUUAUUCCGAAUUAAACAAAACAACAAUAAAUCAAAAUUGAUCUAUGUUCACCCUUUUUAUCAAUUUCACAAUUCUACCCCAUCUAACUUCAUUUUUUAUCAAUCACACUAUCAAAACUACUCAAAUUCGUUUCACAUAUCACCAAAAUCACAUCAUCAAGCACAUAAUCAUAACAUUAACAAAAUCCAACAAUCAUAAUCACCCCACACAUAAUCACAACAUCGAUGCCAAAUUAAAAGAAAUAAGGAGUAAGAGUUAUAGAGAUGGACCUUCCGAAUGCUCUCAAUUGAUUAAGAAGAGAAUAAAAGCGGUCCUGAAACCUAGAAGAAUACCACAAUCUCAAUCCCGAACCAGUAAUUGGACUGGUUUAAAACUGUGAUGAAAUUGAAUUUUGAUUCAAACCAAGGAAACCUUGAAGAGUCAAUGAAUACCCGAAACCAAAACUCAAAAAAAAAAUGAGAAUCCGUAUGACAAUUUCGACGAGACUUUAAUGGAGUCGGAGUAAACUGUCGACUUUUCUGACUUGUCGACUGGACUGAUGUUUUCAGGCUGGAUUUCACCAGAGAAACCAAAAAAAAUGAGAAAAGUGUCUGGGGAUUUCAAUAUUGGGACAAAUUUAAGCUCGGGAUACUUGAACUUGACUAGAAAAUACCGUUUCCGGCGACCCCUGGUGUUUUUUGGUCAGAUUCCGGUGCUAAUUUUGGUGGGAUUGCGCCGAUUUCGUUGUUUAUUUGCCAAAUCUCUCAAAAUCCUUUCAUUCUUUCGAUUCUCUCCCUCUCUCUGCUUUGCUCUCUCUCUUCGUUACUCUCUCUUUCUCUCCGUUACUCUCUUUGUGUGUGUGAGUAUAUGUGUAUGUCUUUAUUCACUGGUUGUGUUGUGUGUGUGUAAUGUAUUGUAGUAUGUGUUAGUGGGUGUGUAUUGAAUAAAUGGAGGAGUGUGUAGGUGUCCAUUAAUGGUGGAGAGAUAGUUUGUGAGUAUAUUCUUGAAAGUGUUUUCUUUUUUGAGAAAGAAGAUGAUGAGUGUUUUCAAUGAAAAUUUCCUCUUCUUUUUGGCCCUCUGUGUCUAUGUGUAUAUCCUCUCCUUUCUUUGUGAAAAGAAACGUGGGGGUGGGGGGGGGGGGUUAAAGGAUAAGAGUGGGGGUGAGAUGGGGGUAGGAGUGGUGAGGUGGAUGAGAUAAGGUUUGUUAGGAUAAGGAAAUAUCAAGGAUUUGAUUUGUUACGAAUUUAUUAAUAUUUUAUUAUUUUUUUCUAUUUUUAUGGGGUAUAAUCGCAUGGAUGAAGGUGUACGAUAACGUGAGGUGAAAAUGGAUGAAUUGGGUUUUGGCAGGGACAAAAUUAGGUGUCUGCUAUACCAGCUAGGUUGCUGCCCGGAGGACCAAACCUGACUGCUCGGACAAGCUUGGUAUACUGUAUUCCCUUAUCAGCAGGCGGUAUAGUAGCAUUGCAAUUAUUCCACCAGUACGGGUCUUCUACUCUAAUCCUCGAUAGAUAGAAAAAUUACACAACCCGUAGAAGUAUCAUGCGCCAAACAUCUACUACCUAGAAAGUAAUUAAGACAAGCAUUUACAGCAUGUCUUUAAAUUAAAGAGUUUCAGUACCCUAGACCUAGAUUAUUAAAUGUGCCAUACACUUCUGACUCAUGGAAUCUUUGACUUUCCGAUGAAUCAAAGGAGGUCUACCAUGUCCAUUUCAGACUGAGCCCUGUAUUGUAAUGUUUGCAUGAAAUCUAGAAGACUUCAAGCAAAAAUAAGUUCGCAUAUGCCUAAGGGCUCAGCAUCUAAACUUCAAUCAAAAACUUACUAGGCUAAAGAACUUCAAGAAUUACAUGCACAAAGUUAAAAUAAACUCACGAGCAAUAAAUCAUAUGCAACAUAACUAACUAGUUGGAUAAUGAAGGUUUUUUGACUCGCAUGCUCUUCCUUUCUUUCUUUCUCAACCAUUUUCCUUUCAUUUUUGACACAUUAAACAAUCCACUCACGUGCAGGAGAGAUGCAACUCGCAUUCUACUUUUAGUUUUUGCUCUCAAGAGCCUUCUCCCAACUUUGGUCUCACGGAUGACUCCUCACAAGUACCCCCAACACAAUUAUUUGACCAUUUAUCAAGUAAAACAAGGCUCUCUUUGUAAUAAUUAACAUAAUGCGAAUUGUGACACCAACCAUUUAUAAAGUUACCUAUGUCAUUCUCUUUAAAAUCGUCAACUACAUGCUCAACUGAAACCAAUAGUCCACAGUUCUCUUUUCAUAAGAUUUUACCAUCUCUCCUUAUAGCCAUUAGAAAUCCCAAGCUCAUUUCGACCAAACCUUCCAUUAAUAUAAGGUGUCCAGAAGAUUUCAGUACGAAGAGGAAAAGUUCGUGCAAAGUGAUAAGAUUGGAUGAUGAACUGCUUCACCCAUGAGUUUGGUGCACCAUACUCUCUCAUUAUCCAAAUAUCAAUGGGUUUACUUUUGUCAUAAUUAUUAUCAACCAAACAAAGAGAUCCCUCUAACACAAAAAGGAACAUUUCGUCAUAACGUGGUCGUGACUCAUUGAUUAAACUACUCGGCAAUAUCAAUUCUGAGAAUUUCUCGUCAUGCAUGUCGAAAAAAACAAUCACACCCCGAAGUCCAAGUGAUCCUUCUACCCAACAAGAAACAAUCCAAUGAGAAGAUCCAUUUACAUAUGCAUGUGGUGUACUUGCAAAGAAUUUAUAAGGUAGAGAGACAUGACUAAUAUCUUCCCAAACACCAGUACUUAACUUAUAAACAUCAACAUGAGGUGGAAACGAAUGAAGAGUGUGCAGUACUCUUACCACCUUAUAGUCAUUAGUAACAGGAUCAUACCCAAACCCUAGCAUAUAACCAAAGAUUUCACCGAGUAUGUCAAUUGUAAAAAUUGGUUCUGGGAGUUUAAAAGAUUUUCUGAUGGAUGGGUUCAAAAAAUAGAAAUGGUUCCAGUCAUGCGACAGUUCGGCAGCAGCAAGGCACAAAAUCCCAUUACAACUACCCACAAUAUUAAAACAAUCGCUACCUUCACUGCACUUAAAUGGUGAAUCAAACUGGGCAAACUCAUUCAAAUAUUCAUCGUAACACAACAUUUGAUAUAAUUCAUUUUGGGGAUUUAUAGAGUAAGAUCAAACCAAGAUGUGAUCGUCUCUGUUUCGGUUGAGAUGCGUGGAGAUAAAAUUAGCGCUAGUAACAAGAGAGUACCAAGUCUUACAAACACUUGUGCAUUGAAGAAUUGACUUUUUGGCAAAUAAUCCGAUAUUUUUCUCCGAUGGCGGAUCUGGAUAUCCCUGUUCUUCUGGAAUUUAUUCUUUUCCUUUCUCCUUGAACCCUAAAAUUUGCUUCUAAUGGGGUGCUUCGUUUCCUUUUAUUCAUAUGUUUUUGGUAAAAGACAUCCUUCAAUUAUACUUUAAACAUAAACUAUAUCCUUCUACUAUUAUAAUGACCAGAAAACAUCCCUCAAUUAUUCUAAAAAUGAUAAGAUUCAUCCUUCCGUUAGAUUUUAUAAGGAAACUAACGGCUGAACCUCUGAUUACCAAAGCAGACCUCAUAUCAAACACCGUUAAGUUUUCAAAAUCCGCUAAACGUAGAUAAAAAAUGAUAAUCUUGAUCCAAAUUCAACAAGCCCAUUUUAUAAACCUAAAGACCUAAGCAAAAUCCUUGUUAGUGUACAGCUUACAUGGGAUGGGUUGGUAAAACUUAAUAGAUAGUACUAAAUUAAUGAUGAAUUUUAAAGAACUCAAGCAAAUCCAAAAAGGAAAACAAUUCCAUGAUUUUAAAACUACUUCCACAGCUACAACAACCAAGAUUUAGAUGAGAGUACACAAAUCAGGGAAUAUUAUAUUGGAAUAGUGAAGUAGCAGUUACAUAACUUUUCAUAGGCAUUCAACAACAACAACAAAUCCAGUAUACUCACAAUGGCGUCUGAAAGGGUAGAGUAUACGACAGUCCUUACCACAACCUCGAAUGUGAGGUAGAGAGGUUGUUUUCCAUAGACCCCCGGCUCAAGACAAAAUGCAGACCAGAUUUAGAUGUAAUAAGGGUACAAAAAACAACAGCAGUAACAAAACAAUAGAUAAUAAGAGUUAAUAACUCAAAUGGUUACUCAACUAUAAACUUUUAUUCCAAAAAGUAACUCAAUUUUAUUAUUUACCUCAAAAGUCACUCAACUAUGGACUUUUAUACUAGAAAGUCACUUAUCUUUGAUCUUUAUUUAAAAGACACUCAACUAUCACCUUUCCGUUCAACUUAUUUAAUUAUUUUUUUUAGUAAAAUUUGCUUAUGUGGAGCUUCUAUUUAAAAACAAAAUUUUGAAAAAAUAAAAAGUAUCCAUUUUAUAAAGUUUUUAUCCAUAUUCUCUUAAAUUAAUAUUUGUUCCUCCUUUUUCUCAUUUUUAUUCCCAUAACUCGAAUAUUUGCAAUAUAAUGUAGGAAAUUAACACUUAUAAUUGUACGAAAUGGAAUUACCAUCAUAUUUUAUCUUUGCAUUUUAUUUUUUAUUUUGUCUUUGAAAAGGAAAAAAAAGGAAAAACAAUAAAGAGGAACAGAAGAAUUCAAGAUGAACAAACAAGAAUAAACAAGAAUGAUACUACAAGUGAUUUACCCGAAAUAACAUGAAUAAACAAGAAUUCAAGAACUAAAAGCUACAAACGCAGUACAAACACUACCAAUAAAGAUAACACUACAAACACUACCAAUAAAGAUAACACUCCUACCUACUAUCAUGAAUGCACUCUGAUCGCUUAACUUUCAUAGGAUAUUCAACAAAUAAAUUUAAAUAUUUUAAGCUGCUAGCUUACUAUGACAUCAUAUCCAUAGGACAUGGCUCCUCUAGUUCUAUCAUAGGCUUAUUUUACUGAGUGAAGUACAAUUACUCUCUCCCAACCAAUAGUUUUAUUUAUGAGUUUUAUCUCAAGCAAAUAUUUUGAAUAUGCACUUACCCAAAUUAAGUAGCACUAAAUAAGAAGAUGCACUUACCCAAAUUAAGUAGCACUAAAUAAGAAGGGAUAUCAUCAAACAUCUUAGGUGCAUAAUCUACUUCAAAAUUCCAACAGAUAAACUGUGAAAGAGAUCAAAUGGAUGGAAGAAAACAUAUUAUAAAGAAAACUUGUCAAGCAAACCAAGAGACUAAACUUCCAACAGCAAUUUUAUACCUCAAACUUUUGGUUGAUUUGAAUUUGGUAGCGUAGACCUCUAAUGAGAGGAUUAGAGGUCACAUGGUAAAAAUGAUUUUGCAAAAUCAUAGUUAAAAGUAAAAUAUACGAAUGAACUUGUCUUGUAACGGCAUAAAUGAGCUAAACUUUAACCGAUGAUAUAGAUGAGUCAUUUCUAAUAGUUUAAAACUAGCAUAUUUGAACCCUUUUUCCUGUCUUUUUUUUUUUAAUUAUUAUUAUAUUAUUAUUAUUAUAAUAGAUUAGAAGUGUUGGUUUCAAAUGCCUGCCUGGCAUUUGAAGGGCAAAUUCGGCAUUUCAGUUAGAUUGAAGUAAUUUGAUUGGAGAAAAUGAAUAGCUUUGAAGUUGCUUUUGUAAAUUUAAAGUUUUCUUUGACUAUUUUGUACAUAGCUAAAUAAUAUACAUUAAGUUUGUGCCAUUUUGACAAGUGGAUCCAGAGUAGCUAUUGAAAUUGUGGGUUCAUUUUAAAAUAGUUAGUCCUACUUAACCUAAAACUCUUCUAAAAAAAAUCAUCAUGGGUUUAUUUUUACAAAAUCAACCUCAUUAAUUAUGAGUUGAAAAUAAAAUUAUAAAUCACAAUAAUUAAAAAUUUUAAAAAAAUAAAAUACAAUUAACUAUCAAUAUCAUAAAAAUCUGAAUAGAAAGAGUAACAUGAAUUAAUUGAAAAUUACAUAAAAAUUAUUAUAAAUUAUAAUAGUUAACAGAUUAAAAUAUCUAAAAUAAUCUAUUAUAUAUUUCAAAAAAAUAUUAAAAAAUACUAUAAAUCACAAUAAUUAACAACUUUAAAAAUUUAAAAUAUAAAAAAUAUUUGGCUGACUCUCAAAAUUAUAUUUGUGUCACUUAAAUUAAAAUGGGAGAAAAGUACUAUAAAUCUCAAUAAUUAAAAAUUAGACAUUUAUGACAUGUCUGCUUAAGUUGCUUUAAUGUAAUUUAACUAAAUAUUAUCCUUAAUGAAUUAUUAUAAGUCAUUUAAAUAUUAAAAAAUUUAUAAUAUUUAAUAAAAAUGUAAAAUAGAUAUAAAAUGAUAAAUUAACUUUUGAUAUUUUAAUUAAUUUGGCAUCCUAUAUGAGGCUCACUUAAAUUUUUUUCAUGGGUAUUUUUUAUAGUAGUUUUUUUAUAUAUCACUUUUAAUUAGUUGUAGUAAGUAAUUUAAGAUAUGUCUACUUCGUUGCUUCAAUUGUGAUUUUACUAUAUCACCCUAAUUAAUUUUUAUGACCAUAUAAGCAUUGUUCCACUUAAAUCUAAAUAGAAAAAAAUAAUUAUAAAUCUCAAUAAUUAAAAAAUUAAAUUAUUUAAAAAGAUAUAUAAUUGACUAUCAAUGUUACAAAAGUUUGGACAAGGAGACUAACAUAAAUUAUUUGAAAAUUACAUAAAAAGUAUUAUAAAUUACAAUAGUUAAAAACUUAAAAUGUUUUUAAAAAAAAUAAAUGUAUUUCAAAAGAAAAUAUAAAAAAUAUUAUAAAUCGCAAUAAUUAACAAUUUAAAAAAUUUAAUAUUCAUCAUACCUGCUUUGACAUAACUUCAUUGAUCCUUUCCCCUACCUUCAUUUUUUUGCCUCUAUUUUAAUUUGUUUGUAUUAUCUUUUCAUCUAUUAUAUAUUUUAAAAAAAACAUAAUUUUUUUUAAUAAAUCACAAUAAUUAACAACUUAAAAGAUAUAAACUAUUUGGCUAACUUUCAAAAUUAUAUCAGUGUCACUUAAAUUGAAAUAGAAGAAAAAUAUUAUAAAUCAUAAUAAAAAAAAUUAAAUUUUUUUUAGAAUAUAAUUGAUUAUCAAUGCCACAAAAGUUUGGACAAGGAGGGUAAUGUAUAUUAUUUGAAAAUUACAUAAAAAGUAUUAUAAAUUAAUAGUUAACAACUUAAAAUAUCUAAAAAAAAUUAAUUUGUUAUAUAUUCCAAAAAAAAUGCAUAAAAAAUUAUAAAUCACAAUAAUGAACAACUUAAAAAUUUUAAAAAUAUAAAAUAUUUGGUUAAAUCUCAAAAUUAUAUUAAUACCACUUAGCUUGGAAUAGAAAAGAAGUAUUACAAAUCACAAUAAUUAAAAACAUAUAUCAUUUUUAAAAUAUAAUUAACUAUCAAUACUGCAAAAAUUAGACAACGAGAGUAACAUAUAUUAUUUGAAAAUUACAUAAAAAAAUAUUAAAAAUUAUAAUAAUUAGCAGCUUAAAAUGUCUCUCAAAUCAUCUUACAUUAUUACAAUUUAGCAUCUGAUUGAUAUCAAAUUUUGAAUAUUUACUUUUUAACUUUAAAAUACUCUAAAUUCAGCAGACUGCUUUCUCCGUGAUUUUACUAUAUCACCCCUAAUUAAUUAUUGUAAGUUAUUUAUAUAUUAAAAACUAAUAAUAUUUAAUAUAAAAAAUAAAAUAUACAUUUAUGGCAUAUUUGUUUCAGCCAUUUCAAUCGUAAUUUUACUAAAUAUCAUUCUAAUUAAUUAUUAUAAGUCAUUUAAGUAUUAAAAAGUUAAUAAUAUUUAAUGAAAGGUAAAAUAGACAUAAAAUGAAAAAUUAACUUUUGAUAUUUCAAUUUAACUUGACGCCUUAUAUGAGACUCACUUAAAUUUUUUUAAGGUUUCGACAUGUCUACUUAUGUUGCUUCAACCAUGAUUUUACUAUAUCGCCCCUGAUUAAUUAUUAUAAGUUAUUUAUAUAUUAAAAAAUUAAUAAUAUUUAAUUAAAAAAUAUAAAAUAGGUAUUUAUGACAUGUUUGCUUCACCUACUUUAAUUACUAAAUAUAACCCUUAAUUAAUUAUAAUAAGUCAUUUAAGUAUUAAAAAUUAAUAAGAUUUAAUAGAAAAGAUAAGAUAGAUAUAAAAUGAUAAAUUAACUCUUGAUAUUUUAAAUGAACUUGACGUCUUAUAUGAUACCCACUUAAUUAUUUUUUUACAAGAAUUUUUUAUAGUAAUUUUGCUAAAUCAAUCCUAAUUAGUUGUCACUUAAGAUAUGUCUACUUCGCUGCUUCAAUCGUGAUUUUAUUAUAUCACCCUAAUCAAUUAUUAUGACCAUCUAAGCAUUGUGUCGCUUAAAAUCUUAAAUUAUUUAAAAAUAUAAUUGGCUAUUAAUGUCGUAAAAGUUUGGACAAGGAGAGUAAUAUACAUUAUUUGAAAAUUACAUGAGAAGUAUUAUAAAUCGUAAUAGUUAACACUUUAAAAUAUCUAAAAAAAAAUUAAUAUGUUACUUAUUUCAAAAAAAUAUAUAUGUAAAAAAUACUAUAAAUCACACUAAUUAACUAGUAAAAACGUUUAAAGGACAAAAUGGCUGCUUUGGCACAUCUUCAUUAAUCCUUUACCUUGCCUUCAUUUUUCCUCUAUUUUAAUUUAUUUGCAUUCUUUUAACCAGUUAUAUGUUUAGAAAAAACAUAAAAAUUUCUAUAAAUCACAAUAAUGAACAACUUAAAAUAUUUAAAGUAUAUAAAAUAUUUAGUUGACUCUCGAAAUUCUAUUAGUGUCACUUAAAUUGGAAUAGAAGAAAAAGUAUUAUAAAUCACAACAAUUAAAAACUUAAAUUAUUUUUAAAAUAUAAUUGACUACCAGUGCAAUAGAAGUUUUGACGAAGAGAGUAACAUAUAUUAUUUGAAAAUUACAUAAAAAGUAUUAUAAAUUAUAAUAGUUAACAGUUUAAAAUAUCUAAAAAAAAUAAUUUGUUAUAUAUUUCAAAAAAAUACGUAAAAAAUACUAUAAAUUACAGUAAUAAACAGCUUAAAAAUUUAAAAGAUAUAAAAUAUUUGGUUAACUCUCGAAAUUAUAUUAGUAUCACUGAAAUUGGAAUAGAAGAAAUGUAUUAUAAAUCACAAUAAUUAAAAACUUAAAUUAUUUUUAAAAUAUAAUUGACUAUCAAUGCCACAAAAGUUUGGACAAGGAGAAUAAUGAAUAUUAUUUGAAAAUUAUAUGAAAAAGAUUAUAAAUUACAAUAGUUAACAACUUAAAAUGUCUCCCAGCUUAUUAUGCAUUCUUAUAAUUUAGCAUCUAAUUAGUAUCAAAUUUUGAAUAUUUAUUUUUAAUUUUAAAAUACUCAAAACAUAAUCGAUGUUGGGCCCGUGUUAGCUAGUUAUUAUUAGGGUAAAAUUCAUAAAUAGCAUACUUAAAAUCAUAAUUAUGAGAUUCAUAGCAACACUUUCAUAAUUACUUAAACUAGCAACUUGUAUUUUGUAUUUGAACAAACCGUUGCUAUAAAAAGAUAUAUACAAAUCAUUUUACUGCCCAUAUUUAACUCAAAUUAGUUGAGUUAAAUAUGGUAUAAUUAGUCAUGAAUUAAAUGUGGAGAUUCCUUUUCCAUUAAAACCUCUUAAUUAACAUGAUUUUCGUUAUUUGUUACCAAUUGAAAUUAAAAUUCAAAUUUCAGUUUCACAUUAUCAUUUUCAUCCCCCAAAAAAAUCAAAAUCAAAUUCAACUGAAACUUCUUCUGUUCAAUGUCUUCAAAAAUUCAAAUUAAACCAUUGCUUUUGUUGAAGAUAUUUAAUUGUACUAUUGUUUUCUUAUAUGAAUUUCAUCAGUUGUUUGAAAUCGAUCAAAAAAAUUUCGUUCUGAAUUUUUUUCUAACCAUUACUGUUAUUUCGUUCAAAUUUUUUUGAGCCAUUAUUGAUGUUUAGUUCAAAUAUAAUGAUCAAAAUUGAUUUUCAUUAAAUUAUUUUUGAAUAUUUUGAGCCAUUAACGAUUUUUCGUUAGAGUGAUCAAAAUCAACUUUCCGUUAUGUUGUACAAUUUAACAAUUUAUUUCGUUAAAUUAUUUUUGAUCAAAAUCAAAUUCAACUGAAACUUCUUCUGUUCAAUGUCUUCAAAAAUUCAAAUUAAACCAUUGCUUUUGUUGAAGAUAUUUAAUUGUACUAUUGUUUUCUUAUAUGAAUUUCAUCAGUUGUUUGAAAUCGAUCAAAAAAAUUUCGUUCUGAAUUUUUUUCUAACCAUUACUGUUAUUUCGUUCAAAUUUUUUUGAGCCAUUAUUGAUGUUUAGUUCAAAUAUAAUGAUCAAAAUUGAUUUUCAUUAAAUUAUUUUUGAAUAUUUUGAGCCAUUAACGAUUUUUCGUUAGAGUGAUCAAAAUCAACUUUCCGUUAUGUUGUACAAUUUAACAAUUUAUUUCGUUAAAUUAUUUUUGAAUAUUUUGUAAACGAAUUUAAAAAAAAAAAGAUAAUGCAACAGUAAAUUGAACUGAUCGAACAAUAUAGUGAUCAAAAUAGAUUUUUCAAGCUACUCAAACUCAAUUUUUUUCUUUUUCACUUCUCUUUUUCUCUUUUUUAUUUUUUUUAUUUUUUUACUCUUUUAUCUCUAACUUUUAUUUUGAAAAUACAAAUAUGUAUAUCACAUAUACAUAUUCAAAAAAUAUACAAAAUAUAUAGCCAUACAGAUCUGGAUAUAUAUUUAUAGUACAAAACAUUCAUAUGUAUCUGCAUAUGUAUUUAUAAAAAUACAAAUCUCACUCAUAUGUAUAUAUAAACAUAUAAGACACAAAAUCUCUAUAACAAAAAAGGACAACUAUAUACAUAUACAUAGAGGUAAUUAAAAAAUACAUGAUACAUAUCCUAUAUGUUUAUAUAUAUAUAUAUAUAUGUGUGUGUGUGUGUGUGUGUUUUUUAUUAUAGAGAUUUUGUGUUCUAUAUGUUUAUAUAUAUGUACAUGUGAGCCAGAUAUGUACUUCUGUAAAUACAUAUGUAGAUAUAUAUGUAUAUUUUUUACCGUAAAUACAUAUGCAGAUCUGUAUGUCUAUGUAUUUUGUAUAUUUUUGACUAUGUAUAUGAGAUAUAGAUAUUUUUCUUUUAAAAAAAAAAGAGUAAAAAAAAAUUUUAAAAAAAAAGAAAAAGAAAAAGACAAAAACAAAAAAUAAAAAUCUAAAAAAAAAAAGAAGUGAAAAGGAAAAAAAAAAGAAAUAAAAACUAGAGAUAGAAGUGUAAAAGCAAAAAAGAAAAAAAGAAAAAAAUAUGAGAAAGGAAAAAAUAAGAAAACGAAAAAAUAAAGAAAAAAAUGAAAAAGGAAAAAAAAGUAGAAGAGAGAAAAUAAAGUAGAAAGAAAAAAAUGAAAAAGAAAAAGAAAUUAAAAUAAAACGAUAAAAAAAUGAAAAACUAGCAAGAAAAAAAAAGUUAGAGAUAUAAGAGAGUGAUAUUUUAAAAUUUUGAAUAUCAUGAAGAUAAUAAUCUUUAUAAUUGAGUUUGCUUUGGAAAAGGAAUAUACUAAUUUAAAUAAGAGUAAUUUAUGGGAAAGGAAAAAAAUUGAAAGAAGAAUCUAAGAGAUUUCAAACAAUAAAAGGUAAAGUAAAAAUCAGUUAAAGGAAAGAGAAAGAGAAGUGACAUAAAAAAGGAAACCUUAUACAUGGUAACUUCUCAAAGGCAGUAAGUGUGGGACCACACUUAAAAUAAUGGUAUGUUUGUUACACAAUGUAAUUUCAUUAAAGUGCUACUAUUUUUCAUAAUUCAAGUCUUAAGUAUGCUACUUCUUAUAGUUUUUCCUUAUUUUUUAUUAUUAUAGAAAGAAUGGUUUCAACAUGGCUACUUAAUUUUAACACAGGGUUCUAGUAUCUAUGUGUAAUAUAUUAAAAGUGUGAAACCCCUUAGAAAAAUGAUUUGAACUUUUUAUCCUUCAUUAAAAGACUCUCAUUUAAACAAAACUGUCUUUUCACUAUUUUAUUCAAUUUAUUAUUUAAUUAUUUUUUAUUAUAAUAAACUCCUAAAAUAUAUGGGACUCUAAAUUAUAUGGAAGGAGAAUCAAUUAAUAUUUUUCUUUAUACUGGUCAACUAGAAAAAUACUCCUAAAACAGAACUCUAUAAAGAAAAUAUUUCUAUAAAUAUUGAGAUCUAGAGAAUAAUUAUUUAUACUAAUUUAUGCACACAAUAUGAUUAGGUCUUUCAAUAACAUAUAUGCAUGCCCUUUUUUUACGUUUUUCUUUAACUGUUUUUUUUAUUCUCUCUUCUUCUUCUUCCUUUGUCUUUUAAGUUAGCUAUUGAUUCACUUGUAUUUCUUAGAUGUUAGGUAGUUGGUUUUUUAUUUUGUAAAGUAUUACCUUUUCCUUUUUUUCAAUCAAUGUAUGGAUAAAUAUAUACAAGCCAUCAGAGUUUGUAUAAUAAAUUCAAUAAAUGUUUUUAUUAUUAGUUUGUAUAAUAAUUUUAUUGUCUUAGUAUCUCUAUUAGUUUAUUAUUUUGUGGUAGUUUACACGUUGUAGACGAAUAUCGAUCGGGUUUGAGGAAUUUUUGUGUGUAAAGUUUAAAUUUAAUUGUAUUAUUUUGAUAUCAUUUUUAUCGUAUUGUUUUGUUGUAGUUUGCAGGUGAUAGAUAAAUGUCGGUCGACUUUGAAGAAUCAGCUUUGAGAAUCAUUUUCGGUAAAGGUUAAGUUUAAUUAAAUAAAUUCUCCAUCUUCACAUAUUCAAAAGAUGUUGAAUUUAAUUAUUGUAUUCAUCUUUAUUAUUUAAACAAAAUUUUUAUUUAGUGUAACGUUUGAACUCAUUAAAGUGAGGUACACGCGCGAGGCGCGUACACCUAAACUAGUAAUUAAAAACACCUAUGGUGCCAACACUGAAGGAAACAGCAAAGCAUUGGCCAAUCAUUCUUUACUAUUAGAUCCAGGAGCGGCUCAACCCUUUCGGAGAAAAGGCGGCCGCCUAUGGCCACCAAAAUUUGAGGGGCCUCAUUUUUUUUAGUAAUAAUAAUUUAUAAAUUUUAAGAAAUAUAUUAAAUACUAUUUAUAGAAAAAAGAAAUAUUUUAUAUAAAAAAUUUAGGAGUUUAAUUUAGUAACAACUUUUUAAUUCAUUGACUAUAUUAUUAAUUAAAAAACAAUUAUUAAAUACGAUUAUAUGAUUUUAAAAAUAGACUUUAUAAAAAUAACUAUUUUUUCUUAAAAACGUAAGACCUCUAUUUGAUUUUUGCCUUAGGUCAUAAAUAUGCUUGAGCCGCCCUGAUUAAAUCAACAAACUUACAAGGCAUAUGAAGAAACUAUUUUAGUCAUGUCAUUAAUUUAUCUUACAAUGAUCAUAAUUGAGGAGCAUGCAAGCUGACCAAAACCCUAUUGUUAUCCCAAAACAUAGCUAUUAGGCAACAAAUCGGUGAUCUUUUGACUUGCAUGUUCUUCCGUUCCUUCUUCUGCGGCCAUUUACCUUUCAUUUUCGACACAUAACGCAACUCACUCAUUUUCAAGAGAGAUGCAAUCCGCAUUCUAUUUUUAGUUUUUGCCUUUAGGAGCUUUUUUCUCCAUCUUCGGGAUCUCUUUUCCAUAAAUCGGAUGACUCCUUGCAAGCAUCAUCAACACAAUUAUUUAUCCAUUCAUCAGGUAAGACAAGGCUUUCUUUGUAAAAAUCAACAUAAAGCGGAUUAUAACGCCAACCAUUUGUAGAGUUACCAAUGCCAAUAUCUAUAAAUUUUUCAACUACAUGAUCAACUGAAACCAAUAAUCUGCGCUUCGCUUUCCAUAAAAUUUCACCAUUUUUCCUUAUACCCAUUGGUUUCACCAAGUAAUGAGCUACCGCAAGCUCAUCUGAAGUAGACCUUCCAUUAUAAGUUGUCCAAAAAUUGUCAUCACGGAGAGGAAUAUUUCACGUAAAGUUACGAGGACUAAUGUUGAACUCUUUCACCCGUGAAUUUGGUGCACCAUACUCUCUCAUCAUCCAAAUAUCAAUAGGUUUACUUGUGUCAUAGUUAUUAUCAACAAAAAAAAGUAAUUUGUGUGACACAAAAAGGAACAUUGCAUCACGGUGUAAUCGUACCUAAUUAGUAAAACUUCUUGGCAACGUUAUCUCUUAAGAAUGUCUCAUCAUGCAUAUCAAACAAAACAAUCAUAUUUAUCCGAGUUUGUUCUUCUAAAUCUUCCCACUUGAAAUCAAUCCAAUAUGAAGCUCCAUUCAGAGAUAUACCGGGGGAAUUAACUCUACAUUUAUUAAUUUAAUUAGUGUAAUGCAAAGAUGAAUAACUUCUACGUUACAAAGGAGAUGUGAAUACAUCUAAACAUCCAUUCUAAUAGAAUUAAGUAACAUGUGAAGUAAUGGUUCUUUAAUGGCUCUUGCAACUCCACUUUCAAAUACUAUAUAAAGGGUGUCUUUGGAGAAGAUAAAAACACACCACUUAAAGAAAGAAACAAUCUUCCUCCUUUCCUCUUCCUCUUGAAUUAUUUUGGGCAACCUCCAAACUUUCAGCCACAAGUGCACGUGUUUAGAAGUAGCUGUGGAACCUUGGGGAGCGACCGGCUAGAAGGAUUUGCACCAGAGUCGGGCCGAAAUUGCUUUCAAGGUAGUGGCUUGCGACGACACAGUGUUUGUGACAACUCUUCUACUAUUAUUAAUUUAGUUCCUAUAUCAAUAUUGUAGUACUUUUCUCAAUAGUUUGAAAGCGAUUUCGUUACAUACAAUAUUGAUAAAUGGCUAUUUCUUUGGACAAAACUUUUCCUGAUUUGUCAAAGCUAGAGCCAUUGGACGAAAAUAAUUUUAAACAUUGGUCACAAAAACUUAUGAUUUUUUUCGAAUAAUUAGAAGUUGAUUAUGUUUUGUUUAAUGAACCUCCAACUGAUAGUUCUAACAUUACUACUAGAUCUAACACUAUUGUGGUUGAUGGCAAAGCUAAAAAGAAAUUCGAAAAGGAUAACAAAACAGUUAGCGGACAUUUGUUGAACCAUAUGACUAAUCAUUUAUUUGAUUUAUUUGUUACCUAUAAAUUUGCUAAAAGAAAUAUGGGACAAUUUAGAAAAGAAAUGUGGUUUCGAUAAUGCAGGAAAGAAAAAAUAUGUUGUCGGACAAUGGAUUAAAUUUCAAAUGGUUGACAAUAAAUCAAUCAUGGAACAAGUCCACGAAUAUGAAAAUUUAACUGUUGAUGUUCUCAAUGAGGGCAUGAAAAUGUGUGAGAUUCUUCAGGCUAAUGUUCUGCUUGAAAAAAAUUUCCACCAUCCUGGAGUGAUUACAGAAAAUCAAUUGAAACAUAAGAAAAAGAAUUUAAAUCUCCAAGAACUUAUAAGUUACAUGAGAACAGAGGAGGCAAACCGUCUCAAAGUCAAGAUGGAAGCUUUGUCUCUUAAUUCUUCUAAAGCUAACCUUGUGGAAUCUUCUGGUACUAUUACAAAAGAUAGGUACGAAGAAAAACAAAAGAAUGUUCAGAAUAAGGAACAAGUGAAAAAGAAAAAUAAUUUCAACAAGCCAAAGAGUCAAAUUAAAAAAUCAAAAGGGCCUUGUUUUGUCUGCGAAAAACUUGGCCACAAGGCUGUCCAGUGUUAUCUAAGAAAAGGACAAAACUCAAAAUAGGGAGGACAAGGUGAUUCCCAAGCUCAUAUUACAGAGGGUGAUGAAGUGAUUGCUGCAGUAAUCGUCGAGGCAAAUCUGGUAGCUAACAAGACUGAUUGGGUGUUGGACACAGGCGCUUCAAGACAAUUCUGAGCUAACAAAAAAUUAUUCCAUGACUUUGAGGAAUCCACCGAUGGCGAGUGUGUCUACAUGGGUGACUCCACUACUGCUAAAGUUAUGGGUAAAGGAAAAUUUUUACUUAAAUUAACUUCUGAAAAAAUAUUAUGCCUGAACAAUGUUCCGUAUAUUCCCUCGCUCCGUAGAAACUUAGUUUCUGGAGCACUUCCAAAUAAAGUAGGCCUUAAACUUGUUUUUAAAGUUGAUAAAAUAAUUAUUUCUCGUGGAGGAAACUUUAUUGGGAAGGGAUACCUUAGUGGGGGCUUAUUUGUGCUGAACAUUGAUCAAGAGAUUGUCAAUAAUGCAAAUAUUCCUAAUUCUGCUUAUAUUGUUGAGUCUAUUAAUUUAUGGCUUGGUAGGCUAGGUCAUGUUAAUAUUGCUUCUAUUAAAAGACUUAGAAAAGUGGGAUUAAUUCCUACAGUAAAUAUUGAUGAUACUUCUAAAUGUCCUCUGUGUGUAGAAGCAAAGCAUGCCAAGAAACCUUUUAAAUAUGUUCCUAGUAGAAAGACCGGGUUGCUUGAACUAGUACAUUCAGAGUUAGCAGAUUUUAAGAACACUAUUAGUAAAUGUGGAAAGAAGUAUUACAUUACUUUUGUUGAUGAUUUUUCUAGGUAUACUAAGGUAUACCUCCUUAAGUCUAAAGAUGAGGCUGAAAGCAUGUUUUUAAAAUUCAAAACAGAAGUAAAAAAAUCAAUUAGAUAGAAAAAUCAAGAUAUUUAGAUCUGAUAGGGGUGGUGAAUAUAGUGCUAAAACUCUAGAAGAUUUUGUGAGAAAAAUAGUAUUAUUCAUGAGUUUAGUGCUCCCUAUACUCCCCAACAAAAUGGUGUAGCCGAAUGAAAGAAUAGAACACUUAAGAAAAUGAUGAAUUCCAUGCUUUUAAGCUCGAGUCUACUUAACUAUAUGUGGGGGNNNNNNNNNNNNNNNNNNNNNNAGCUGUCUUAUCUGCAUGUUAUAUUCUUAAUAGAGCCCUUCAUAAAAAGUUAGACAAGACCUCAUAUGAGUCAUGGAAAAGAUAUGCCCCUAACUUGAAAUUUUUGAAAGUGUGGGGGUGUUUGGCUAAGAUUGAUCUACCUGAUUUUAAACGAGUAAAUGUAGGUUCUAAGACCUUUGAUACUGUUUUUAUUGGUUAUUCUCAAAAUAGUGUUUCAUAUAGAUUUAUGUCAUUAAAUAAUUAUUCUAUUUGUGAAUCUAGAGAUGCAAAAUUUUUUGAGCAUGUUUUUUCUUUGAAAAAUGAUGUGCCUAGUGAUGUGCAAAAUAAUACUUUUAUACCUGUGUCUGUUAACUCUCAUUUUAUGCUAAUGAGCAUAAAAAUAAACUUAGAAGGAGUAAAAGACGUAGAACUGAGACUAGAUUUGGUCCUGAUUUUAUCACCACCUUCUUAGCUGGGGAUUUUAAUAUCGAUACUUCAAAUGAUGAAUUAGUGUCUAUCUUCUUAAUAGAAUAAGACCCUAAGACAUAUGAUGAAGAAACGAGUUCAAUAGAUGUGAUAUUUUAGAAAGAGGCUAUUAAAAGUGAAUUAGACUCUAUAGUUUGUAAUCACACAUGGGACUUGUAUGAUUUGGCUAAAGGUUGUAAAUCCAUAAGUAGUAAGUGGAUAUUCAAGAAGAAAUUGAGGCCUGAUGGUACAAUUGAUAAAUAUAAGGCUAGAUUUGUGAUUAGGGGCUUUAACCAAAAGAAAGGUGUUGAUUAUUUUGAUACUUAUUCUCUUGAGAUGAAAAUAGGGACCAUUAGAACUCUUAUUGCUCUAGCUGCUAUUCACAAUUUAGUGGUACGCCAAAUGGAUGUCAAAACUGCAUUUUUAAAUGGUGAUUUAGAGGAAGAGAUCUAUAUGACUCAACCUGAGGGUUUUGUGAUCCCAGGACAAGAGGAUAAAGUAUGCAAAUUGAGAAAGUCCUUAUAUGAACUUAAGCAGGCACCUAAGCAGUGGUAUAAAAAAUUUAAUUUCACAUUAAUAGAUAAUGGCUUUGUUGUUAAUUCAUCUGAUACCUGUGUUUAUUCUAAAAUGAUAGGAUCAGUCUGUGUGAUUAUAUGUUUAUAUGUGGAUGACAUGUUAAUCUUUGGCCCUAAAGUAAAUGUUGUAAAUGACACUAAGAAAUUUUUAUUUUCUAAAUUUGAAAUGAAAGACCUUGGAGAAGCUAAUGUGAUUUUAGGAAUAAAAAUCAAAAGAAAUGCUAAUGGUUUCUCUUUGUGUCAGUCUCAUUAUAUUGAAAAAAUAUUGAAAAGGUUUAAUUAUUUUGAUGUAGUUUCAAUGAGAACUCCUUAUGAUCGUAGCAUACACUUGAAAAAAGAAUAAAGAUUUCAGUGUUUCUCAAACUAAAUAUGCUAAAAUAAUUGGGAGUAUAAUAUUUCUCAUGAGCUAUACUCGGCCUGAUAUAGCUUAUGAUGUUAGUAGAUUGAGCAGAUAUACUCAUAAUCCUAGUAAUGAAUAGUGGCAUGCUCUUCAUCGCUUAUUAAGGUACUUGAGAGAUACUAGAGAUUGGUGUUUGUAUUUUAAUAAAUUUCCUGCUAUUUUAGAAGGUUUCUGUGAUACAAACUGGGUGACUAACAAUGAUGAAGUUAGCUCUACCAAUGGCUAUAUGUUUACUUUGGGUGCAGGUGCUAUUUCAUGAAAGUCUUCAAAGCAGACUUGUAUAGCAUGUUCUACCAUAAAAUCUAAAUUCAUUGCUCUCGAGUUGGCAGGGCAAGAAGCUGAGUGGCUGAGAAAUCUUUUGACAGAUGUUCCUUUAUGGGGAAGACAAAUGUCACCAGUCUUUUUACAUUGUGACUCACAAGCGGCAAUUGAGAUUGCUAAAAAUAGUGUAUAAAAUGGUAGAGACAUAUUCGCAUCAGACAUGGUGCAAUUAAACAAUUAUUGAAACAUGGUGUUAUUUCCUUGGAAUAUGUAAGAUCCGAAAUAAAUUUAGCGAAUCCUAUGACCAAGGGUUUGACAAGGAAAAUGGUCCUUGAAUCGUCGAGAGGGUGGAGCUAAAGCCCAUGGAUUGAGGUAAUAUGGUGGAUACCCAUUUGGGGUCAAACGAAGCCAUAUAGGCCUUCAAUAAACACUACAUAUCCUAUCCCUAUGGCGUGGGGUAGUGUAUUAUAAGGUUGAACUUAUUUUGCUCUUAAUGAUCCAUAGUCUUAAGGUGGUCUAUGAGAUGGACUUGAUGGAUCACCUACGUGAGUGUAAAAGGUUGGUCACCUUUUUAUGAAAGACUUGGGUUAUCUUUCUAGAGCACUCAUGAGACCUAAGGUUUGUGUGCAUGACCAUAAACGCACUUUGUAGUAUCGCGGAGGUUGCUUAAAAUCAAGGAUAUGGUAUGUGUUGUGGGGGUCUCAACUUAUGUCCAUCUAGUUCAAGAGUACUUCACUUUUUGGAUAUUUGUUUUUGCCUCAUAUCACUACAUGUCAAUUCAAAUCGAAAGAUAUUGACACUUAAGUACGUGUUCCUUCCUUUUGCCCAGAAUUCAUUCUUAUUCUUUAUCUUUGCAUUAGUGGGGGACUGUGGAAUUAACUCUAUAGUUAUUAAUUUAAUUAGUGUAAUACUCUACAGUUAUUAAUUUAAUUAGUGUAAUGCAAAGAUGAAUAACUUUUACGUUACAAAGGAGAUGUGAAUACAUCUAAACAUCCGUUCUAAUAGAAUUAAGUAACACGUGAAGUAAUGGUUCUUUAAUACUAUUAACUAUAACUCUUACAACUCCACUUUCAAAUACUAUAUAAAGGGUGUCUUUGGAGAAGAUAAAAACAUACCACAUAAAGAAAGAAACAAUCUUUCUCCUUUCCUCUUCCUCUUGAAUUGGUUUGGACAACCUCCAAACUUCCAGCCACGAGUGCACGUGUUUGGAAGUAGCUGUGGAACCUUGAGGAACGACCGGCUAGAAGGAUUUGCACUGGAGUCAGGCCGAAAUCGCUUUCAAGGCAGUGGCUUGCCACGACACAGUGUUUGUGACAACUUUUUUACUAUUAUUAAUUCAGUUCCAAUAUCAAUAUUGUAGUACUUUUCCCAACAAUACCUGAGGUGUAGUGCAAAAGAAUUGAUAUUUGAUAAGAUAGAGCGACAUGACUAAUAUCUUCCCAAACACCUGUACUUAGCUUAUAAAGCUCUACGUGUGGCAUUAGACGAAAAGUUGUGUGUAUAUUCUUACCACCUUGUAGUCAUUAGUAGUCCGGUCAAAUCCAAACCCUUGUGUAUGAUCCAAGGUACUCAGUGUCUUAAAUGUAUAAAUAGGUAUUGGAAGUUUUAAAGACUUUCUAAUGGACGGGUUCCAAAGAUAGAUAUGGUUCCUACAACACUCGUGAUCAUCCGCAAGACACAAAAGACCAUUACAGCUACCCACAAUAUUAAAGUAAUAGCUUGUUCGCUCAAAUGGCAAAUCAAACUGCUCGUAUUGAUCAUCAUUCUCAUUGUCACGGAACAAAGCAAACAUCUCUUCUUCCGGGUUUAUAGCGUGAUAUUGCAUUAGGAUGUAAUCGUCUUGUUUUCGGUUGAGGUGGGUGUAGAUAAAACUAGGACUAGUAAGAAGAGAGUAUCAUGACUUGCAAACGCUUGUGCAUUGAAGGAUUGAUUUGAUUGGCAGUUUUAUGAAGAUGUCAAUCAUCAACUCUUGUGACAAAUAAUCAGACAUUCUUUUUAUCCUAUAAUAGGAUCUCCUCAAGUGGUUAAAUAUCUCUUUUCUUCUUGGUUUUAUUUGUGAGAUGUGGACUGUAAUGUUGGUUCUACUUCUCUGUUGUGACUGUUCAGUUGUUCAAUAUGCUUUCAAUUUGUUUCUAACCAACAAUUUUUUCAAAGUCCAAUAUGGUACUCUCUUUCGUUCACUUUUUCUUGUCAAUUAUUCAAAAAAAAUAAUUUUUUAUUUUUAUUUGUCACUUUUUACAUAUUAAAAAGAAUAUCUUUUAAUGUUUUAUACUAUGCAUCAAUUACUUAUUCCCUAAAUUAUUUUUCAAGACAUAAUGCUAACGAAUAUAAAUCAAUAUGAUAUUAUGGUAAAAUAAUCAUAUCAAUUGUUAUUUCUUAAAAAGGUGUGCAAAGUUAGAAUUGGACAAGUAAAAAUGAACGGAUUCGAGGGAGUACGGUUGUUAGACUAGUUACUUUAUAUGAAACGAAGUGUUGGUAGCGGAGAACUCACUGAAAAUGAGUAUAAUAAAAAUGAAGAUAUUAUGAUGAAUAUGUGAAUAUACCAGAAGAAAUGGAAUUAUAAAAAGGAGAUAUGUGGUACAAGGUCAGAUUGGGCUUCUAGGUGCACAACAUGAGAGAAGCGACUAUUUGCUUCAAAUUAAUAAUCAACUCGUUUAAUUUAUUCAACACAUUUUUACCCACUAAAUUUAUAUCCAUUUAACACCUUGUAAUUGUCAAUGACCUUUAGUAGAUUGUAAUCGAAGUCGUUCUGUUGAAGCUGCGGCAGCGCCCAUAAAUAGUAUACAUGCAAUCUAUGUUGCUCGAACUUUUCAUAAAUAUCAAUAAAUAUAUUUAGAAAUCACCCAUGAUGUAUUUUAGAUUUUGGCACAACGUCGAAAAUAAGAGUAUCCGUAAUCGACACAUGUUCCACAUGCACUUUCUCAACGCUAAUUCCGCCUUCAAUCGUCCACUUUCCACCCUACUUACUUUCUAUAAUAUCUUUUCUAGAAUAUAUAUACUAAAUUAUAUGUUGAUUAUUCUAUAAUCUAAACUCUUAUUUCAAUAUUGUUUCAACAAUAAUCAAGCAUUUCAUAAAGUCAAAGUAGGUUAGUUCAGAAUCCAAUCGAAAUCAAUAAUUUGAACCAAAAGAAAGUCAUUGGUUUAUUGGUAAUGGAUUAUUAAUUUAGCAAUUUUGAUAAUGGUUUCUAUUUAUCUUUUAUAUCGGGUUAUCGAUUCUUAAUGGUUCGAGGUUUUUCCCUAACGGGUUAAUUGAUAACGUGAUAAUAAAUUAAUAUAUUAUGUUUAUACCAUUUGGUAUAUAAAGUCCUUGACUUAGGAUUUAGUUUCAUGCUUUCAUUUUCCUUGACAUGUCUCACACUUUUCGGUUAUUCUACAAGGUGUCAGUGUUUGCUUUUUAGCAAGAUGGAAUCUGUCAACUCGUGUAUGGCUCAUUUAGUUUGUCAGCUUGUUUCUAAGUGUUUUUCAAUGAUUUAUUUUUGCGAAAUCUUAACGGCUAAAUCGAUUAUCAAACGAUGACGAUCAAUAACUGAUAAAUAGAUAUCAUAAUGGUUCUAUAUAUAAUGGUUUAACAUGUCUACAAAAUAAUAACCGAUAAAUCAAACUGAUAAACUUCAAAAGCGAACCAAAUCGAUGAUACUCAACCCUAAGUCAAAGCACUUAAACUUUUCUAAUUGCUCAAGCAAUCAUAUUAAUGUCAACUACGUUACAUGUACAUGUGUAGUGUUAAGUGACAGCUUCUUAUCAACAGUAAACGCCCAUAAGAAUAUAAAUUUUUAUUCCCACUUGCAUCCUAUGUUGCUGUUAUGUGUGGCAAGAGAAAAGACAAGUCGGUGCACAUAUAUAUUAUUUUCUAUGUAGGAGACAAUUUGGGUAACGGAGAAAGAGGAGGAAUUAAUGAAAUAUUUAUUUAUAAAAUGUACUAGUCUAUAUAAGCCAAAGUUGAGAUACUGAUCAAUGGUGCAUUGCAACAGCUUUAUAUUGUUGUAACUAAAGAAAGAAAAAGAAAACUAAGGUUCAUCAACAGCUUUGAAGAUGACAACGGUAAUCACCAUCUCUUCUAUCUUUAAUGUUUGUCUAAUUAAUCUUUGAUUUGAUCAUAACGAAAAUUUUUAGACCAAUUUUAUGUGGCUUAAUUAUUUCUAAUGCUAUAUUUUGGUUGAGUACAGAUGACUGAGAUGAGAGUACAUAUGGAUUGUGCUGGAUGCGAGAGUAAAGUUAGAAAAUCUCUCGAGAAAGUUAAAGGUAAUAACGUAAUAUACUUCUUAGAAUUGAGACGGAAUAUAUUAAGAUUAUUAGUUUAUAAAUUAUGAAUUACAUUUUUUUUUUUUUUUGCUUACCAAAUUCUGAAUAUAUGUGAUUUGUACAUGUUACAUAAUCUUUUUAACAUAAAGAAGUACAAAGUUUGAAUCAAAAUUAUUGAAAUCCACAAAACUCGUAACUACUACAAUAUAUGUUUCAUACCCUACCUUAGAAAAAUGAUGAUUUAAAUUAUUUUAGUACUAUAUAUAUCACUGAUCAGUUUACAUAUUGUAGCAAGUUAUAGCAGGUACCUUGUCUUAAUAUUUUAGCCUGAUACUAUUAAAAGUAAAAUUUGUACUGUCAUGGGAAAUAUAAUUUAAGUAUUAAACUCAGAAUGACAAAAUUCAAAUUAGUUUGUUAAACUAAGUAUCUAAUUUUGUAACUUUUUUUUAUGUAUAUUUCAGGUGUUGAUAAUGUAGAAAUAGAUAUGGCCAUGCAAAAAGUGACAGUAACAGGAUGGGCAGACCAAAAGAAAAUACUCAAAACAGUAAGAAGAACUGGUAAACGAGCUGAGAUAUGGCAGUUUCCUCACAAUCCUGCCAUGAGAAAUAAUAACCCUAAUCAUGUCACUGAUUAUUAUUAUCAGCAGCAAGGUUGUGGUGGCCCGUCCACUUAUUACAGCGGAGAGCCACCAGCCUCCGCCUAUAACUAUCGUAAGCACGGCUAUGAUAACUAUGGCCGUGCUUAUAGUCUUUAUAGGGGCAACUCGAACACGUUUGGUAGUCGUGCUGGUGAUGCAUUUAGUGAUGAGAAUCCCCAUGGUUGUAAAAUUAUGUGAGUGUUAUUGGUUUAAAUAAAUGCACCUUUUUGGUGUUUUAAUUUUUGUUGAAUUCUAUAUAUAGAUUAAAUUAUCAAAGUGUAAAUGCAUUAUAUGUGUGUAAGCUUUUUAAGUAGUAAUAUUUUUAAAAGGAUAAUAGCCAUGAAAAUAUCUGAACUUUAACCAAAAUUUUAGUGGAGCAUAUUCAACUUUGCGGGGGUCCUAUUACCCCUAUACUUUUUUAAUCGGAAUUAAUCCCCCCGGGGAAUUUUUUUAAAGUGGAAUUAAUCCCCCAAAACGUAUACCCAGUUUUUUAGGUGGAAAGUGUGGUACACGCUCGUUGUCUUCUCCAUUUUAUCACUUUUCAACAUUUUUUCACCAUUACAACCAUAUUAAAGAUUCCACAACUCAAAUUCAUCCUACAAAUCAAAUUUCAAAUAAUUUCAUUGAGUCAAUUUCAAAUUCCAAGUCCAUUCUUAUCACACAAGUUUCCAAAUUCAAUUUCUAGUUUCAAACUUUGAAUUCCGUUGAGUUUAAUCGAAAAUUUUCUUGCACAUUGAAUUUAUAUAAUAAGAACAGUGAAAUUAUGGUUUUUAAAUUUAAUUGAAAAUAGCAAGAAGGUAUUAAGAACUAAUAAACCUACGCAUUGAAUAUAGCAAAGUUAGAAUAAAAUACUACACAGAAAUUGCUAAAACUUCAAUAGGAUAAAAUAAUAAACUACACAAAUUAAUGAAUACAUCUUACGAAAAGAAUAAAUCAUUAAAACCAACAAUAAAAAAUAUUUUUACUAGGAAAAAGGAUGAAUAUUAUGUAGUAUGUCAAAAAGAACAUGUAAUAGACUGCAGAUAUGCAAAAGGAAAAGCUAGUAUACCAUUAGUAACAAAAAGAAUAAUUAAUAAAGAAAUAAAUGAUAUAAAAAGUAAAGGAGAUCCAAUAAAAUAUGUACACCUUGGAGGUACAGAGAUAUUAAUAAAAGCAUGUUUUAGAGAAGGAAUAGAUACACCAAUAGAAUUAUAUUUAGCAGACGAUAGAAUUAUAAAACCUAUAGAAAAAAGCAUAAUAACUGCCGUAAAAGGAAAUCUAAUAUACCAAAAAUUUAAAUUUAUAAUAAGUGCAAAUUAUUCAGUAGCAGUAACAGAUAGGAAUAUAGAUAAAUCAUUAGUAUUAUAUUGGAAAAUAUCAGGAAUAGAAUUAACCCCAGGAAGUAAAAUAUUUACAGCAAGAUGCAAAAAUUUAUAUGUAUUAACAACAAAACAUAAAAUAACAGGAAAAAUAAGAUUAACAAAAUACGAAUAGAAAGUCCAUUCGAACAAUCAGUAAAAACAAUAGAUUAUAAUGAUUAUAGCUAUAGAGACAUAGAUAUAGAAGAAAAUUUAGAAAUAAUAAAUGAUAGAAUAAGUACAACGGAAAGAAUAGUUGAUGAAAAACCAGAAUCAUCAAAUUCAUCAAAAAGAACAAGUUAUGAAAUAAAUUCAACAAAUAAUUUAAAUCAAUAUUACAUAACAGGAAAGGUAAAUGAAAAAGAAUAUUUAAUACUCUUAAAUACAGGACAAGAAGAAAAUUAUAUAGCAAAAUAUCUAGUAAAAAAUGAAGAAAUAAAAACUGAUAAUGAUAUAUGCCCAGAUCUACCAAGAAGUUUAAUAAAUAGUAAAAAUAUAGCAGAAAAAGAAAUAAUAAUAGGAAUUAGAAAAAUAAAAAUAGAAUUUGAAGUAAAGGAAGAAAUGCAAAAAACAGACAUAAUAUUAGGAAUAAAAUGGCUAGAACAAGUAAAACCAUAAAAUAUAGAACAUACACAAUUAACCUUAACAUAUAACAGAGAGAAAAUAUUCUUAAGAAGAGCCUUACCAUAAAAUGAAAAUAUAUGUAUUAAUGAAGAUAGUAGUAGAAGGAUAUUAUAGUAGAUAUUAUACGCCUAUGAUAGAUACAGGAGCAGAAGCUAAUUUAUGUAGAUAUAAUUGCUUACCAGAAAGCAAAUGGGAUAAACUAAAAACACCAAUAAUAGUUAAAGGAUUUAAUAAUGAAGGAAGCUUAAUUACUUAUAAAGCUAGGAAUGUAAAAAUACAAGUAUGGGAUAAGAUAUUAACAAUAGAAGAAAUUU
RNAcentral lists this long non-coding RNA (41112 nucleotides) under Capsicum annuum. RNAcentral describes it as "long non-coding RNA (CANN_LNC022170)". Lineage: Eukaryota; Viridiplantae; Streptophyta; Magnoliopsida; Solanales; Solanaceae. The record is from RNAcentral.